AUUGAACGCUGGCGGCAUGCCUUACACAUGCAAGUCGAACGGCAGCACGGGUGCUUGCACCUGGUGGCGAGUGGCGAACGGGUGAGUAAUACAUCGGAACAUGUCCUGUAGUGGGGGAUAGCCCGGCGAAAGCCGGAUUAAUACCGCAUACGAUUUACGGAUGAAAGCGGGGGACCUUCGGGCCUCGCGCUAUAGGGUUGGCCGAUGGCUGAUUAGCUAGUUGGUGGGGUAAAGGCCUACCAAGGCGACGAUCAGUAGCUGGUCUGAGAGGACGACCAGCCACACUGGGACUGAGACACGGCCCAGACUCCUACGGGAGGCAGCAGUGGGGAAUUUUGGACAAUGGGCGAAAGCCUGAUCCAGCAAUGCCGCGUGUGUGAAGAAGGCCUUCGGGUUGUAAAGCACUUUUGUCCGGAAAGAAAUCCUUGGCCCUAAUACGGUCGGGGGAUGACGGUACCGGAAGAAUAAGCACCGGCUAACUACGUG
This 486-nucleotide ribosomal RNA is filed under the name uncultured bacterium. RNAcentral's name for it is "partial 16S ribosomal RNA". It matches the Rfam family "Bacterial small subunit ribosomal RNA", at positions 30 to 507 of the family's 1533-position model. The record is from RNAcentral.